Molecule: ribosomal RNA, 459 nt
Filed under: uncultured Nitrospiraceae bacterium
Lineage: Bacteria; Pseudomonadati; Nitrospirota; Nitrospiria; Nitrospirales; Nitrospiraceae
Description: bacterial SSU rRNA
Rfam family: Bacterial small subunit ribosomal RNA
Source: RNAcentral
CACAAGCGGUGGAGCAUGUGGUUAAUUCGACGCAACGCGAAGAACCUUACCUGGGCUUGACAUGUUAGUGGUAGGAAACUGAAAGGGGACCGACCUGUAGCAAUACAGGAGCUAAUACAGGUGCUGCAUGGCUGUCGUCAGCUCGUGCCGUGAGGUGUUGGGUUAAGUCCCGCAACGAGCGCAACCCUUAUCCUAUGUUACCUCGCAAGAGGGUCUCUUAGGAAACUGCCGGCGAUGAGCUGGAGGAAGGUGGGGACGACGUCAAGUCAUCAUGGCCCUUAUGUCCAGGGCUACACACGUGCUACAAUGGCUACUACAGAGGGAAGCAAGACCGCGAGGUGGAGCCAAUCCCUAAAAGUAGUCGUAGUUGGGAUCGGAGUCUGCAACUCGACUCCGUGAACCUGGAAUCGCUAGUAAUCGCGGAUCAGAACGCCGCGGUCGAAUACGUUCCCGGGCCUU